CGUAUACUCCCUCCGUCCGGAAAUACUUGUCAUCAAAAUGGAUAAAAGGGGGUGUAUCUAGAACUAAAAUACGUCUAGAUACAUCUCUUUUUAUUCAUCUUGAUGACAAGUAUUUCCGGACGGAGGGAGUAUGUU
Molecule: non-coding RNA, 135 nt
Organism: Triticum aestivum (bread wheat)
Lineage: Eukaryota; Viridiplantae; Streptophyta; Magnoliopsida; Poales; Poaceae
Source: Rfam